GCUUUUAUCGUUUAAAUAAGACAAUUUCUUUUCAUGAAAUAAAUAGGAAUUAAAAUUUCCUUAAAAGUU
This 69-nucleotide transfer RNA is filed under the name Babesia rodhaini. RNAcentral's name for it is "tRNA-Glu". Lineage: Eukaryota; Apicomplexa; Aconoidasida; Piroplasmida; Babesiidae. The record is from RNAcentral.